GAUGAAGAACGUAGCGAAAUGCGAUAAGUAAUGUGAAUUGCAGAAUUCCGUGAAUCAUCGAAUCUUUGAACGCACAUUGCGCCCUCUGGUAUUCCGGGGGGCAUGCCUGUCCGAGCGUCAUUUGCAACCCUCAAGCCCGGCUUGUGUGAUGGGUGCCGUCCCCUACGGGACGCGCCCCGAAGGCAAUGGCGGCGUCGCGGUUAUCCGAUCAGCCAAAGUGUAUGGGGCUUUGUCACUCACUUUACGGCCCGGACCGGCGCCAGUCCGAAUCAAUCUUUUUUCUAAAGUUGACCUCGGAUCAGCUAGGGAUACCCGCUGAACUUAAGCAUAUCAAUAAGCGGAGGA
RNAcentral lists this unclassified non-coding RNA (345 nucleotides) under soil metagenome. RNAcentral's name for it is "partial contains 5.8S ribosomal RNA, internal transcribed spacer 2, and large subunit ribosomal RNA". The stretch from base 1 to 120 matches the Rfam family "5.8S ribosomal RNA", at positions 35 to 154 of the family's 154-position model. The record is from RNAcentral.